GACGAACGCUGGCGGCGUGCCUAACACAUGCCAGUCGAACGGAACUGUUUUGAAAGCUUUCUUCGGAAUGAAUUUGAUUUCGUUUAGUGGCGGACGGGUGAGUAACGCGUGAGUAACCUGCCUUCAAGAGGGGAAUAACAUUCUGAAAAGAAUGCUAAUACCGCAUGACAUAUCGGAACCACAUGGUUUUGAUAUCAAAGAUUUUAUCGCUUGAAGAUGGACUCGCGUCCGAUUAGUUAGUUGGUGAGGUAACGGCUCACCAAGACCGCGAUCGGUAGCCGGACUGAGAGGUUGAACGGCCACAUGGGGACUGAGACACGGCCCAGACUCCUACGGGAGGCAGCAGUGGGGGAUAUUGCGCAAUGGGGGCAACCCUGACGCAGCAACGCCGCGUGAAGGAUGAAGGUUUUCGGAGUGUAAACUUCUUUUAUUAAGGACGAAAAAUGACGGUACUUAAUGAAUAAGCUCCGGCUAACUACGUG
This 482-nucleotide ribosomal RNA is filed under the name uncultured bacterium. RNAcentral describes it as "partial 16S ribosomal RNA". It matches the Rfam family "Bacterial small subunit ribosomal RNA", at positions 28 to 507 of the family's 1533-position model. The record is from RNAcentral.